UCUGCAGAGGAGCCCCACCCCAUUUUACUGUCUGAAAACCAGGGGGGCAGUUGCCCCCCAGCCCCCCUGGUUCUUACAGCCCUGCAGUACAGUACAGUACAGCUGCUCAAGGAUCAAUGAAAGGUUGGAGAGCCAUUGAAAUUGUAAGGAUUUAAGCUCCAUGGAUGAGCAAUUCCUCGGACACUGCCGCUAGCGCUAGUAGUGGUACUGGUGCUAUAAUUAUGUGCUUCGAAGAGCAGAAGCAGAGUGGGCUGAGCUAUCUGCACAUUGAUUAUAAUUAUAUUCGACUAUAAAACAUAAUUUUGCUGUUAUAAACUUCAUCUCGAUCUAUUUGUAUAUAUGACUUCAACACGUUCAAUUUGUGUUUAUAAUUAUUAUUAGCAGCACAUAAUUGUAAUUGUUGUAUAUACAAAAAUAAACGAUACAAAAUCAUAAUUACUGUACAUGUAUACAUUUUUAAUUAUAAGCAAUACGUUGAGAAAAAUUAUUGUAAUCAUAAACAGCAGCAAUCAUUAAUCAAUAUACUAUUAUAACUUUGUGUCCAUAGCUUAGCCAUACACAACACGUUACUAGGUUACUUAUCAUUGGUCUCGUUGGUCCCAUACCGACACUGAACGUCAGCCACACCACUUGUGCCAUGUGCCUCAAACACAGUAGACUUGGUAACUUUCGGUCGGUAUGUAUUAACCUCCUCUGCUCGAUUCAACAGUAUCAUCGACUCAGUCAGCACUUCCCCAUUAUCAGCUAGAUCUCCGUACACUCCGUUGUUGCCCCUAGCAUUGGUGGCGGUACGAACCCUACCUCGUUGUUGUAUCUCUCUGUAAAGCUCUAAAUUUGAGAAAUGUUCGUACAAGAAAAGAACUGCACGAUGGGCCAGAAACUUCUCCGUGGCAUUUUUAUACCUUCUUGUUUUUCGUACACAAAAUAAGCAGAGAUAGAUGAAUAGAUAUACCAUUGGCAACCAUAUUAAAAUGACACCGAAAAUGUGGAUUUCAAUGGGGUCGGUGCUGCCAUUUUCAGAGGGAGCGGAGUAGAGAUAGAUUGAAAUGAGGGUAAUUGCUGCCAUGUUGAGGAAGAGUAGAAUAUCGAUAAAAUUGUGAAGCAUAUUUUUGUAAGGUAGCAUUAUUGCAACCACGAUAAUCAUGAAGAUAAUGAACAGCAACUGACACAGGACUUGUGUGAGUAGAUUGGAGGAGAAGGCGAAAAUCAUUAGCAUUACUAGUCGAAAGAGAAAGUACAUUCCAGCAAAAUACUGUCGAUUGGGUCGGUAACAAUCACGCAUCGCAUCUAAGAAAGAAUUUAUUUUCAGACUGGGCCACAAUUUUCUCAGUAAAACACACUUUUCCAGACCAGUGAGCCAAUUGACGAAAUCUAGACCACCUAACAGAACAAAUGGCAGCACAAUGACGAACAUGUACACAAUAAUUGCUAUUAGACCAUACGGAAGAAUAUAUUCCUGUUGCCCAAAGUAGUACUGUCCAGCGUAGUACAUCAGACGUGGAGAGGUCACGUAGGUUCCGUUUUUAUCGAAUAUUCCAACCGUUGUCAAGGUGAGAGUGGCGGCAAGGCUCAUCUUGGUGUAAGAUAGAUAGAUGAAUCCAACAAAAGCGUUAAUAAAAUUGUGAGAGACAAUUUUCUUCACUGAUUCUCCAAUUUUUUGACUGGUACUUGUUUCGCUAUUUCCUACAAGAGUGUGUAGAGCUCGAUUUCUUUCCCUUC
Molecule: long non-coding RNA, 1719 nt
Organism: Halichondria panicea
Lineage: Eukaryota; Metazoa; Porifera; Demospongiae; Suberitida; Halichondriidae
Exons: 2
Source: RefSeq, a predicted model, not a curated record